GACGAACGCUGGCGGCGUGCUUAACACAUGCAAGUCGAACGAAGUGGCGAACGGGUGAGUAACGCGUAAUCAACCUGCCCUUCAGAGGGGGACAACAGUUGGAAACGACUGCUAAUACCGCAUACUGAAGGAGGGGAUUGCGGCUGAUUAGCUAGUUGGGGGGGUGACGGCCCACCAAGGCGAUGAUCAGUAGCCGGUCUGAGAGGAGGGACAGCCACAUUGGGACUGAGACACGGCCCCGACUCCUACGGGAGGCAGCAAUGGGGAAUCUUCCGCAAUGGACGAAAGUCUGACGGAGCAACGCCGCGUGAGUGAUGACGGCCUUCGGGUUGUAAAGCUCUGUUAAUCGGGACGCGGUACCGGAAUAGAAAGCCACGGCUAACUACGUGCCAGCAGCCGCGGUAAUAC
This 408-nucleotide ribosomal RNA is filed under the name uncultured bacterium. Its description in RNAcentral is "partial 16S ribosomal RNA". It matches the Rfam family "Bacterial small subunit ribosomal RNA", at positions 28 to 526 of the family's 1533-position model. The record is from RNAcentral.